GGGGGUAUAGUUCAAUGCUAGAGCAUGUGCUCAACAUGCACAAGGUCCUGGGUUCAACCUCCGGUAGCUCCA
Molecule: transfer RNA, 72 nt
Filed under: Camelus bactrianus (Bactrian camel)
Lineage: Eukaryota; Metazoa; Chordata; Mammalia; Artiodactyla; Camelidae
Also listed under: 2 other names
Rfam family: tRNA
About the family: Transfer RNA (tRNA) molecules are approximately 80 nucleotides in length. Their secondary structure includes four short double-helical elements and three loops (D, anti-codon, and T loops).
Source: Rfam by way of RNAcentral